GCCUGGAUGGCUCAGUCAUUAAGCAUCUGACUUUGGCUCAGGUCAUGAUCUCUCGACUCGUGAGUUCGAAUCCCACAUCAGGUG
Molecule: transfer RNA, 84 nt
Filed under: Felis catus (domestic cat)
Lineage: Eukaryota; Metazoa; Chordata; Mammalia; Carnivora; Felidae
Also listed under: 2 other names
Rfam family: tRNA
About the family: Transfer RNA (tRNA) molecules are approximately 80 nucleotides in length.
Source: Rfam by way of RNAcentral